CUACGGGGGGGCUGCAGUGAGGAAUAUUGCACAAUGGGGGAACCCUGAUGCAGCAACGCCGCGUGGAGGAUGACGCAUUUCGGUGUGUAAACUCCUUUUAUAUGUCAAGAAAAUGACGGUAGCAUAUGAAUAAGCACCGGCUAACUCCGUGCCAGCAGCCGCGGUAAUACGGAGGGUGCAAGCGUUACUCGGAAUCACUGGGCGUAAAGGACGCGUAGGCGGGUUGGAAAGUCAGGUGUGAAAUCCUACAGCUUAACUGUAGAACUGCACUUGAAACUUCUAAUCUAGAGUAUGGGAGGGGGAGAUGGAAUUAGUGGUGUAGGGGUAAUAUCCGUAGAUAUCACUAGGAAUACCUAAAGCGAAGGCGAUCUCCUGGAACAUUACUGACGCUAAGGCGUGAAAGCGUGGGGAGCAAACAGGAUUAGAUACCCUUGUAGUC
This 439-nucleotide ribosomal RNA is filed under the name uncultured bacterium. Its description in RNAcentral is "partial 16S ribosomal RNA". It matches the Rfam family "Bacterial small subunit ribosomal RNA", at positions 339 to 795 of the family's 1533-position model. The record is from RNAcentral.